Molecule: long non-coding RNA, 176 nt
Organism: Hibiscus syriacus
Lineage: Eukaryota; Viridiplantae; Streptophyta; Magnoliopsida; Malvales; Malvaceae
Exons: 2
Source: RefSeq, a predicted model, not a curated record
UGCAUGCAAACAGAGGAUGAUAAGUGGAGUAUAAAAUCAAGAUCUGCUUCUCCACGAACUAGUACUGGAAGUUUGUCCCCUGGUGAUGAGUUUAAUAGUGAGAACAAACGCGCUGCGCUUAUAUGUGACGUCUUUGUUAAAGGGUGGUGUAUUAAAGGAAGUUCAUGUAACUUUAU